GUACUACUUGGCCUUUCUGGAGUCAUUCUUGUUUUGUUGUCUGUCCUUGGGUCGGUUGGAUUGUUUAGUGUGCUUGGUGUAAAAUCUACUCUGAUCAUCAUGGAAGUUAUCCCUUUUCUUGUCCUAGCUGUUGGGGUGGAUAAUAUGUGUAUACUAGUUCAUGCGGUAAAAAGACAACGACUAGAG
RNAcentral lists this small RNA (186 nucleotides) under Vigna angularis var. angularis. RNAcentral describes it as "Non-protein coding transcript". Lineage: Eukaryota; Viridiplantae; Streptophyta; Magnoliopsida; Fabales; Fabaceae. The record is from RNAcentral.